UACGUAGGGUGCGAGCGUUGUCCGGAAUUAUUGGGCGUAAAGAGCUCGUAGGCGGUUUGUUGCGUCUAUCGUGAAAACCUGCAGCUUAACUGUGGGCGUGCGGUCGAUACGGGCAUCACUGGAGUUCGGCAGGGGAGACUGGAAUUCCUGGUGUAGCGGUGAAAUGCGCAGAUAUCAGGAGGAACACCGGUGGCGAAGGCGGGUCUCUGGGCCGAUACUGACGCUGAGGAGCGAAAGCGUGGGGAGCGAACAGG
Molecule: ribosomal RNA, 254 nt
Filed under: uncultured bacterium
Lineage: Bacteria
Description: partial 16S ribosomal RNA
Rfam family: Bacterial small subunit ribosomal RNA
Source: RNAcentral